Molecule: non-coding RNA, 29 nt
Filed under: Rattus norvegicus (Norway rat)
Lineage: Eukaryota; Metazoa; Chordata; Mammalia; Rodentia; Muridae
Source: RNAcentral
UGGCAAUCUCUAGUAACUUUGGAGGUUUU